RNAcentral lists this ribosomal RNA (1191 nucleotides) under bacterium BMS3Abin15. Its description in RNAcentral is "bacterial SSU rRNA". It matches the Rfam family "Bacterial small subunit ribosomal RNA", at positions 1 to 1117 of the family's 1533-position model. The record is from RNAcentral.
AUUUGAGAGUUUGAUCCUGGCUCAGGAUGAACGCUGGCGGCGUGGAUAAGGCAUGCAAGUCAAAUGUGUGUCUCACUAUGUUCGACACCCAUAGGUGGCGAGCAGAGCGAGGCAUACAUGGCAAACGGGUUAGUAAUGCAUAGGAACGUACCUUCAAGUCGUGAAUAAUCCAGAGAAAUCCGGAAUAAUACACGAUGUGCUCUAUGGAGUAAAGAUUUACCCACACACCAAUUUUUUCAAUACUAUUCUUGAGAUAAUAAUUAUAUUAGCAAGAAACUUGUGGAGAAAUUGGUGUGCGGGUUUAUCGCUUGAAGAGCGGCCUGUGUCCUAUCAGCUUGUUGGUAAGGUAAUGGCUUACCAAGGCAAUGACGGGUAGGGGGCGUGAGAGCGCGGUCCCCAACAUUGGAACUGAUACACUGUCCAAACUCCUACGGGAGGCUGCAGUCGAGAAUAUUCGGCAAUGGGCGAAAGCCUGACCGAGCGACGCCGCGUGCAGGAUGAAGGCCUUCGGGUUGUAAACUGCUUUUCUAUGGGAACAAAUUAUUGAGUGUACCGUAGGAAUAAGAGGUUACUAACUCUGUGCCAGCAGUAGCGGUAAUACAGAGACCUCAAGCGUUAUCCGGAUUUAUUGGGCGUAAAGAGCGGGUAGGUGGAUAUGCUAGUCAGAUGUCAAAUUUUCGGGCUCAACCCGAAAACUGCAUUUGAAACGGCAUAUCUAGAGAAAGUGAGAGACCAGUGGAACUCAUGGUGUAGUAGUGAAAUGCGUUGAUAUCAUGAGGAACACCAAAGGCGAAGGCAUCUGGUUGGCACUUUUCUGACACUGAGCCGCGAAAGCGUGGGUAGCGAAUGGGAUUAGAUACCCCAGUAGUCCACGCCGUAAACGUUGCAUACUAGGUAUUAAGAGAAUCGACCCUUUUAGUGUCGUAGCUAACGCGUUAAGUAUGCCGCCUGGGAAGUACGGCCGCAAGGCUAAAACUCAAAGGAAUAGACGGGGAUCCGCACAAGUGGUGGAGCAUGUGGUUCAAUUCGACAAUAAGCGAGGAACCUCACCAAGAUUUGAAAUCCAGCUGCAUAUCUUAGAAAUAAGAUAGCCUUCGAGGGUGCUGGACAGGUGCUGCAUGGUCGUCGUCAGCUCGUGCCGUAAGGUGUUCCCUUAAGUGGGGAAACGAGCGCAACCCCUGUCGUGUGUUA